RNAcentral lists this ribosomal RNA (369 nucleotides) under uncultured bacterium. Its description in RNAcentral is "bacterial SSU rRNA". It matches the Rfam family "Bacterial small subunit ribosomal RNA", at positions 527 to 896 of the family's 1533-position model. The record is from RNAcentral.
GAAGGGGGCUAGCGUUGUUCGGAAUUACUGGGCGUAAAGCGCGUGUAGGCGGUUGCCAUAGUCAGGUGUGAAAGCCUUGAGCUUAACUCAAGAAAUGCACUUGAUACUGGGCGACUAGAGGACCGGAGAGGAUAGUGGAAUUCCCAGUGUAGUGGUGAAAUACGUAGAGAUUGGGAAGAACACCAGUGGCGAAGGCGGCUAUCUGGACGGUUUCUGACGCUAAGACGCGAAAGCGUGGGGAGCAAACAGGAUUAGAUACCCUGGUAGUCCACGCCGUAAACGAUGGGUGCUAGACGUUGGCGAGCUUGCUCGUCAGUGUCGCAGCUAACGCGUUAAGCACCCCGCCUGGGGAGUACGGCCGCAAGGUUG